GACGAACGCUGGCGGCGUGCUUAACACAUGCAAGUCGAACGGAAAGGCCCUGCUUUUGUGGGGUGCUCGAGUGGCGAACGGGUGAGUAACACGUGAGUAACCUGCCCUUGACUUUGGGAUAACUUCAGGAAACUGGGGCUAAUACCGGAUAGGAGCUCCUGCUGCAUGGUGGGGGUUGGAAAGCUUCGGCGGUUGGGGAUGGACUCGCGGCUUAUCAGCUUGUUGGUGGGGUAGUGGCUUACCAGGGCUUUGACGGGUAGCCGGCCUGAGAGGGUGACCGGCCACAUUGGGACUGAGAUACGGCCCAGACUCCUACGGGAGGCAGCAGUGGGGAAUAUUGCACAAUGGGCGGAAGCCUGAUGCAGCAACGCCGCGUGCGGGAUGACGGCCUUCGGGUUGUAAACCGCUUUCGCCUGUGACGAAGCGUGAGUGACGGUAAUGGGUAAAGAAGCACCGGCUAACUACGUG
RNAcentral lists this ribosomal RNA (468 nucleotides) under uncultured bacterium. RNAcentral describes it as "partial 16S ribosomal RNA". It matches the Rfam family "Bacterial small subunit ribosomal RNA", at positions 28 to 507 of the family's 1533-position model. The record is from RNAcentral.